Molecule: long non-coding RNA, 456 nt
Organism: Epinephelus moara (kelp grouper)
Lineage: Eukaryota; Metazoa; Chordata; Actinopteri; Perciformes; Serranidae
Exons: 3
Source: RefSeq, a predicted model, not a curated record
UGUCUAAGAAAAGCGUAAUUAGACCCGGAGAGGUAAGAUAACUUAACGAAAAUUGAACUGAGUUUGAGAAGAGUCAGCAGAGUUGCUAGUGACAGCGCUACUGAGUGCUGUUACCCUUUGGAGGAGGUUUUCACCGUGAAAAGCUGCGUUGGGUGUGGUCUCCAAUUAACGUGGAUAUCCUGCAGGUCUGGGAAAAUAGCUGCACAUACUAUUUGGAAACCCAAGCAGACGUGAAGUUUUUGGCUGCUGUCUGAUGAGGAUGAGCUCCUAAAUGACAGGAUCCACAUCCUGCUCGAUUUGUGCCCCAACCAGGACUCCACAAAGACAGCACGCAGGUGCAAGGUGAGACUCAUCAAAAAGGUUGAGCCCCCUAGUCCUCGGAUUGGUCAGCUGCACCCACCGGGGAUGUACAUAUAUGUAGGGCAGAGAUGUUUUCUGAUGUCUGAUGAAGGUCAC